UGGGGAAUAUUGCACAAUGGGCGCAAGCCUGAUGCAGCCAUGCCACGUGUGUGAAGAAGGCCUUCGGGUUGUAAAGCACUUUCAGCGGGGAGGAAGGCGAUAAGGUUAAUAACCUUGUCGAUUGACGUUACCCGCAGAAGAAGCACCGGCUAACUCCGUGCCAGCAGCCGCGGUAAUACGGAGGGUGCAAGCGUUAAUCGGAAUUACUGGGCGUAAAGCGCACGCAGGCGGUCUGUCAAGUCGGAUGUGAAAUCCCCGGGCUCAACCUGGGAACUGCAUUCGAAACUGGCAGGCUAGAGUCUUGUAGAGGGGGGUAGAAUUCCAGGUGUAGCGGUGAAAUGCGUAGAGAUCUGGAGGAAUACCGGUGGCGAAGGCGGCCCCCUGGACAAAGACUGACGCUCAGGUGCGAAAGCGUGGGGAGCAAACAGG
This 429-nucleotide ribosomal RNA is filed under the name Chloroflexota bacterium. RNAcentral's name for it is "Chloroflexi bacterium partial 16S ribosomal RNA". It matches the Rfam family "Bacterial small subunit ribosomal RNA", at positions 355 to 776 of the family's 1533-position model. The record is from RNAcentral. Lineage: Bacteria; Bacillati; Chloroflexota.